This 75-nucleotide transfer RNA is filed under the name Agromyces badenianii. Its description in RNAcentral is "Agromyces sp. MF30-A tRNA-Arg". It matches the Rfam family "tRNA". Rfam says of the family: Transfer RNA (tRNA) molecules are approximately 80 nucleotides in length. Lineage: Bacteria; Bacillati; Actinomycetota; Actinomycetes; Micrococcales; Microbacteriaceae. The record is from RNAcentral.
GCCCCCGUAACUCAGGGGAUAGAGUGCCGACCUCCUAAGUCGGAAGCGCAGGUUCGAAUCCUGCCGGGGGCACCG